This 2914-nucleotide ribosomal RNA is filed under the name Alkalibacter rhizosphaerae. RNAcentral describes it as "Bacterial large subunit ribosomal RNA". It matches the Rfam family "Bacterial large subunit ribosomal RNA". The record is from Rfam by way of RNAcentral. Lineage: Bacteria; Bacillati; Bacillota; Clostridia; Eubacteriales; Eubacteriaceae.
GGUCAAGUUACUAAGAGCAUAGGGAGAAUGCCUUGGCACUGGGAGCCGACGAAGGACGCGACAAGCUGCGAAAAGCUGCGAUUAGGUGCAAAUAACCGUUGAGUCGCAGGUAUCCGAAUGGGGAAACCUAGCAGAGAGAAGCUCUGUUACCCGCAUAUGAAUAAAAUAGUAUGCGAGGAGGGAACUCGGGGAACUGAAACAUCUAAGUACCCGAAGGAAGAGAAAGAAAACUCGAUUUUCCAAGUAGCGGCGAGCGAAAGGGAAAGAGCCUAAACCGUAUUUAUACGGGGUAAUGGGACAUGUAAAGGAGAUCUGGAAAGAAGCCGAAUGGCCUGGGAAGGCCGACCAUAGAGAGUAAGAGUCUCGUAGGCGAAAUGGACAGAUACAGGCAUGUUACCGGAGUACCACGGGACACGUGAAACCCUGUGGGAAGUUGGGGGGACCACCCCCCAAGGCUAAAUACUACCCAGUGACCGAUAGAGAAUAGUACCGUGAGGGAAAGGUGAAAAGAACCCCGGGAGGGGAGUGAAAUAGAACCUGAAACCCUAUGCUUACAAGCAGUGGGAGCGCAAGUGACCGCGUGCUUUUUGUAGAACGGACCAGCGAGUUACGAUAUGUAGCAAGGUUAAUCACUUCAGGUGAGGAGCCGCAGGGAAACCGAGUCUUAAUAGGGCGUAUAGUUGCAUGUUGUAGACCCGAAACCGUGUGAUCUACCCAUGUCCAGGGUGAAGCGUGAGUAAAAUCUCGUGGAGGCCCGAACCGGUGUCUGUUGAAAAAGGCUCGGAUGAGGUGUGGGUAGGGGAGAAAUUCCAAUCGAACACGGAGAUAGCUGGUUCUCCCCGAAAUAGCUUUAGGGCUAGCGUCAAGGGAUGAAUAGUGGAGGUAGAGCACUGAAUUGGCUAGGGGGCGUAUAGCUUACCGAACCAUAUCAAACUCCGAAUGCCAUAUAUUUUACCUUGGCAGUCAGACAGUGUGAGAUAAGUUUCAUUGUCGAAAGGGAAACAGCCCAGACCAUCAGCUAAGGUCCCAAAGUACAGGUUAAGUGGGAAAGGAUGUGCAAUUGCUAAGACAACUAGGAUGUUGGCUUAGAAGCAGCCACUCAUUCAAAGAGUGCGUAAUAGCUCACUAGUCGAGUGAUUGUGCGCCGAAGAUUACCGGGGCUAAAACCUGUCACCGAAGCUAUGGCUUGCGUCGUAGAUCUGCAGGGGUAGGGGAGCAUUGUGUACGAGGCGAAGCUGAGCUGGAAGGCGAGGUGGAUUCUACACAAGAGAGAAUGCUGGUAUGAGUAGCGAAAGAAAGGUGAGAAUCCUUUCCAUCGAAAAUCCAAGGUUUCCUGAGGAAGGUUCGUCCGCUCAGGGUAAGUCGGGACCUAAGCCGAGGCCGAAGGGCGUAGGCGAUGGACAACCGGUUGAAAUUCCGGUACCGCCUUUGACUGUUUGAGAGAAGGAGUGACACAGGAGGAUAAGCUGACCCGUCGAAUGGAAGAGACGGGCUAAAUAACGAGUGUGGACCUUAGGCAAAUCCGGGUCCUGGGAAGCAUGAGUUAUGAUGGGGACCGAAAAACAAGUAGGGAAGCAGCUGAUUUCACACUGUCGAGAAAAGCUUCUAUUGAGGAAGAAGGCGCCCGUACCGCAAACCGACACAGGUAGAUGAGGAGAGAAUCCUAAGAUGAGCGGGAGAAGUGUUGUUAAGGAACUCGGCAAAAUAACCCCGUAACUUCGGGAGAAGGGGAGCCUAAUCCGAUUGUUGUAAAAUGAUACGGAAAGGCUGCAGAGAAAAGGCCCAAGCGACUGUUUAGCAAAAACACAGGUCUCUGCUAAAUCGAAAGAUGAAGUAUAGGGGCUGACGCCUGCCCGGUGCUGGAAGGUCAAGGGGAAUGCUUAGCUUCGGCGAAGGCAUGAACUUAAGCCCCAGUAAACGGCGGCCGUAACUAUAACGGUCCUAAGGUAGCGAAAUUCCUUGUCAGGUAAGUUCUGACCCGCACGAAAGGCGUAACGAUUUGGGCACUGUCUCAACAACACACCCGGUGAAAUUGUAGUACUCGUGAAGAUGCGAGUUACCCGCGACAGGACGGAAAGACCCCGUAGAGCUUUACUGUAGCUUGGCAUUGGAUUUUGGUAGUGUAUGUACAGGAUAGGUGGGAGGCAGAGAGAAUAGGACGCUAGUCUUGUUGGAGCCGCUGUUGGGAUACCACUCUUAUACUACUGGAAUUCUAACCAGUAGCCGUGAUCCGGCUAUGGGACAUUGCCAGGUGGGCAGUUUGACUGGGGCGGUCGCCUCCGAAAGAGUAACGGAGGCGCCCAAAGUUUACCUCAGAAUGGUUGGAAAUCAUUCGUAGAGUGCAAAGGCAAAAGGUAGACUGACUGCGAGAGAGACAUCUCGAGCAGGGACGAAAGUCGGGCUUAGUGAUCCGGUGGUACCGAGUGGAAGGGCCAUCGCUCAACGGAUAAAAGCUACCUCGGGGAUAACAGGCUUAUCUCCCCCAAGAGUCCACAUCGACGGGGAGGUUUGGCACCUCGAUGUCGGCUCGUCUCAUCCUGGGGCUGUAGUAGGUCCCAAGGGUUGGGCUGUUCGCCCAUUAAAGAGGCACGCGAGCUGGGUUCAGAACGUCGUGAGACAGUUCGGUCCCUAUCCGUCGUGGGCGCAAGAUAUUUGAGAGGAGCUGUUCCUAGUACGAGAGGACCGGAAUGGACAGACCUCUGGUGCACCAGUUGUCCUGCCAAGGGCACAGCUGGGUAGCUAAGUCUGGACGGGAUAAGCGCUGAAGGCAUCUAAGCGCGAAGCCCCCCUCAAGAUGAGAUAUCUCAUCCGCAAGGAGUAAGGUCCCCAGUAGACGACUGGGUUGAUAGGCCAGAGGUGUACGUGUAGAAAUACAUUCAGCUGACUGGUACUAAUAGACCGAGGACUUGACCAA